AAAUAAGAAGCGAACAAUCGCAAUCAGUUUCGACCUGAAAAAUGAUAUUACACUAUCCUUAUUUA
RNAcentral lists this transfer RNA (65 nucleotides) under Dictyophorus spumans. RNAcentral's name for it is "tRNA-Arg". Lineage: Eukaryota; Metazoa; Arthropoda; Insecta; Orthoptera; Pyrgomorphidae. The record is from RNAcentral.